Non-coding RNA from Podarcis lilfordi (Lilford's wall lizard), 143 nucleotides. The record is from the annotation of a GenBank genome assembly. Lineage: Eukaryota; Metazoa; Chordata; Lepidosauria; Squamata; Lacertidae.
GCUGGGUGGGGAGGAGAGAGGGACAGAGAGCCUGCUUGCUUUAAAGGAACCAACCGGACAGGGGCCGCUUACACUCGUGCUCCUCUCCCGCUUUGCUCCUUUAAAGAAGCAGGCGCUCUGUCCCUCUCUCCUCCCCACUCAGC